This 825-nucleotide ribosomal RNA is filed under the name Candida tropicalis. Its description in RNAcentral is "LSU rRNA". It matches the Rfam family "Eukaryotic large subunit ribosomal RNA", at positions 77 to 921 of the family's 3401-position model. The record is from RNAcentral. Lineage: Eukaryota; Fungi; Ascomycota; Pichiomycetes; Serinales; Debaryomycetaceae.
GCCUUAGUAGCGGCGAGUGAAGCGGCAAAAGCUCAAAUUUGAAAUCUGGCUCUUUCAGAGUCCGAGUUGUAAUUUGAAGAAGGUAUCUUUGGGUCUGGCUCUUGUCUAUGUUUCUUGGAACAGAACGUCACAGAGGGUGAGAAUCCCGUGCGAUGAGAUGAUCCAGGCCUAUGUAAAGUUCCUUCGAAGAGUCGAGUUGUUUGGGAAUGCAGCUCUAAGUGGGUGGUAAAUUCCAUCUAAAGCUAAAUAUUGGCGAGAGACCGAUAGCGAACAAGUACAGUGAUGGAAAGAUGAAAAGAACUUUGAAAAGAGAGUGAAAAAGUACGUGAAAUUGUUGAAAGGGAAGGGCUUGAGAUCAGACUUGGUAUUUUGUAUGUUACUUCUUCGGGGGUGGCCUCUACAGUUUAUCGGGCCAGCAUCAGUUUGGGCGGUAGGAGAAUUGCGUUGGAAUGUGGCACGGCUUCGGUUGUGUGUUAUAGCCUUCGUCGAUACUGCCAGCCUAGACUGAGGACUGCGGUUUAUACCUAGGAUGUUGGCAUAAUGAUCUUAAGUCGCCCGUCUUGAAACACGGACCAAGGAGUCUAACGUCUAUGCGAGUGUUUGGGUGUAAAACCCGUACGCGUAAUGAAAGUGAACGUAGGUGGGGGCCCGUAUGGGUGCACCAUCGACCGAUCCUGAUGUCUUCGGAUGGAUUUGAGUAAGAGCAUAGCUGUUGGGACCCGAAAGAUGGUGAACUAUGCCUGAAUAGGGUGAAGCCAGAGGAAACUCUGGUGGAGGCUCGUAGCGGUUCUGACGUGCAAAUCGAUCGUCGAAUUUGGGUAUAGG